UCAGAUUGAACGCUGGCGGCAUGCUUUACACAUGCAAGUCGAACGGCAGCACGAAAGAGCUUGCUCUUUUGGUGGCGAGUGGCGAACGGGUGAGUAAUACAUUGGAACGUACCGAGUAAUGGGGGAUAACUGUCCGAAAGGAUGGCUAAUACCGCAUACGCUCUGAGGAGGAAAGCGGGGGACCUUCGGGCCUCGCGUUAUUCGAGCGGCCAAUGUCUGAUUAGCUAGUUGGUGGGGUAAAGGCCUACCAAGGCGACGAUCAGUAGUGGGUCUGAGAGGAUGAUCCGCCACACUGGGACUGAGACACGGCCCAGACUCCUACGGGAGGCA
Molecule: ribosomal RNA, 330 nt
Filed under: uncultured Neisseria sp.
Lineage: Bacteria; Pseudomonadati; Pseudomonadota; Betaproteobacteria; Neisseriales; Neisseriaceae
Description: bacterial SSU rRNA
Rfam family: Bacterial small subunit ribosomal RNA
Source: RNAcentral